RNAcentral lists this transfer RNA (72 nucleotides) under Leucocryptos marina. Its description in RNAcentral is "tRNA-Arg". It matches the Rfam family "tRNA". Rfam says of the family: Transfer RNA (tRNA) molecules are approximately 80 nucleotides in length. The record is from RNAcentral. Lineage: Eukaryota; Cryptophyceae; Kathablepharidacea; Katablepharidaceae.
GCAUCCGUAGCUCAAAAGGUAGAGUAUUUGACUUCUAAUCAAUUGGUUCCGAGUUCAAGUCUCGGCGGGUGU